Molecule: ribosomal RNA, 431 nt
Filed under: uncultured bacterium
Lineage: Bacteria
Description: bacterial SSU rRNA
Rfam family: Bacterial small subunit ribosomal RNA
Source: RNAcentral
ACGAACGCUGGCGGCAUGCCUAACACAUGCAAGUCGAACGAGACCUUCGGGUCUAGUGGCGCACGGGUGCGUAACGCGUGGGAAUCUGCCCCUUGGUUCGGAAUAACUCAGAGAAAUUUGAGCUAAUACCGGAUGAUGACGUAAGUCCAAAGAUUUAUCGCCAAGGGAUGAGCCCGCGUAGGAUUAGCUAGUUGGUGAGGUAAAGGCUCACCAAGGCGACGAUCCUUAGCUGGUCUGAGAGGAUGAUCAGCCACACUGGGACUGAGACACGGCCCAGACUCCUACGGGAGGCAGCAGUGGGGAAUAUUGGACAAUGGGCGAAAGCCUGAUCCAGCAAUGCCGCGUGAGUGAUGAAGGCCUUAGGGUUGUAAAGCUCUUUUACCCGGGAUGAUAAUGACAGUACCGGGAGAAUAAGCUCCGGCUAACUCCGU